This 253-nucleotide ribosomal RNA is filed under the name uncultured bacterium. Its description in RNAcentral is "partial 16S ribosomal RNA". It matches the Rfam family "Bacterial small subunit ribosomal RNA", at positions 524 to 776 of the family's 1533-position model. The record is from RNAcentral.
UACGGGGGGGGCAAGCGUUGUUCGGAAUUACUGGGCGUAAAGGGCGCGUAGGCGGCCUGCUAAGUCGGAUGUGAAAUCCCUCGGCUCAACCGAGGAACUGCAUCCGAUACUGGCGGGCUUGAAUCCGGGAGAGGGAUGUGGAAUUCCAGGUGUAGCGGUGAAAUGCGUAGAUAUCUGGAGGAACACCGGUGGCGAAGGCGGCAUCCUGGACCGGUAUUGACACUGAAAAGCGAAAGCCAGGGGAGCAAACGGG